CCUACGGGGGGCUGUAGUGGGGAAUAUUGGGCAAUGGGCGCAAGCCUGACCCAGCAACGCCGCGUGAAGGAAGAAGGCUUUCGGGUUGUAAACUUCUUUUCUGAGGGACGAAGAAAGUGACGGUACCUCAGGAAUAAGCCACGGCUAACUACGUGCCAGCAGCCGCGGUAAUACGGAGGGGGCAAGCGUUAUCCGGAUUUAUGUGGUGUAAAGGGCGUGUGGGCGGGAACGCAAGUCAGAUGUGAAAACUCCGGGCUCAACCCUGGGCCUGCAUUUGAAACUGUUUUUCUUGAGUGCUGGAGAGGCAAUCGGAAUUCCGUGUGUAGCGGUGAAAUGCGUAGAUAUACGGAGGAACACCAGUGGCGAAGGCGGAUUGCUGGACAGUAACUGACGCUGAGGCGCGAAAGCGUGGGGAGCAAACAGGAUUAGAUACCCGAGUAGUC
RNAcentral lists this ribosomal RNA (443 nucleotides) under uncultured bacterium. RNAcentral's name for it is "partial 16S ribosomal RNA". It matches the Rfam family "Bacterial small subunit ribosomal RNA", at positions 338 to 795 of the family's 1533-position model. The record is from RNAcentral.